This 213-nucleotide long non-coding RNA is filed under the name Homo sapiens (human). Its description in RNAcentral is "HSALNT0143729". Lineage: Eukaryota; Metazoa; Chordata; Mammalia; Primates; Hominidae. The record is from RNAcentral.
GUUAUCCCUGACUGCCGCUACAGCAGUCCCAACCUGUGUUGUUUUCACUUGAUGGGCUCCUGGAAUUAUUGACAGCACACUCUCUAGUCGUACGGGCUGCCCUGCCACCUACACUGACAUCCUGGCCAGGUUCCUGGAGAUGGCCUGGCAUCUUGGACCUGUUCCCCACGGGGUGCCUGGAGCCUCUGAUGGUCUACCCAGGGUGGCAAUGAG